UACAGAGGUCUCAAGCGUUGUUCGGAUUCAUUGGGCGUAAAGGGUGCGUAGGUGGCGCCGUAAGUGGGGUGUGAAAUCUCGGGGCUUAACUCCGAAACUGCAUUCCAUACUGCGGUGCUCGAGGACUGGAGAGGAGACUGGAAUUCAUGGUGUAGCAGUGAAAUGCGUAGAGAUCAUGAGGAAGACCAGUGGCGAAGGCGGGUCUCUGGACAGUUCCUGACACUGAGGCACGAAGGCCAGGGGAGCAAACGGG
This 253-nucleotide ribosomal RNA is filed under the name uncultured bacterium. Its description in RNAcentral is "partial 16S ribosomal RNA". It matches the Rfam family "Bacterial small subunit ribosomal RNA", at positions 524 to 776 of the family's 1533-position model. The record is from RNAcentral.